This 253-nucleotide ribosomal RNA is filed under the name uncultured bacterium. RNAcentral describes it as "partial 16S ribosomal RNA". It matches the Rfam family "Bacterial small subunit ribosomal RNA", at positions 524 to 776 of the family's 1533-position model. The record is from RNAcentral.
UACGUAGGGGGCAAGCGUUGUCCGGAUUUAUUGGGCGUAAAGAGCGUGUAGGCGGCCAGACAGGUCCGUUGUGAAAACUAGAGGCUUAACCUCUAGACGUCGAUGGAAACCGUUUGGCUAGAGUCCGGAAGAGGAGAAUGAAAUUCCUGGUGUAGCGGUGAAAUGCGCAGAUAUCAGGAAGAACACCCGUGGCUAAGGCGGUUCUCUAGUACGGUACUGACGCUGAGACGCGAAAGCGUGGGGAGCGAACAGG